GCCUUCGUGGUGUAGUGGUCAUCAGGCUCCACGCGUAACCGAGAGGUCCGUGGUUCGAUUCCCGGCGAAGGCG
This is a non-coding RNA of Stegodyphus mimosarum, 73 nucleotides long. Lineage: Eukaryota; Metazoa; Arthropoda; Arachnida; Araneae; Eresidae. The record is from Rfam.